RNAcentral lists this transfer RNA (72 nucleotides) under Diabrotica virgifera virgifera (western corn rootworm). It matches the Rfam family "tRNA". From Rfam's summary of the family: Transfer RNA (tRNA) molecules are approximately 80 nucleotides in length. Their secondary structure includes four short double-helical elements and three loops (D, anti-codon, and T loops). The record is from Rfam by way of RNAcentral. Lineage: Eukaryota; Metazoa; Arthropoda; Insecta; Coleoptera; Chrysomelidae.
GAGAGUAUAGCUCAGUGGUAGAGCGUUCGAUCAGAGAUCGAGAGGUCCCCGGUUCAAAUCCGUGUGUUACCA